GGCUAUUGUUAAUUGGCCUUUUGGUUUACAAAGCACUUCCACAUACCUUAUCACAUUUGAUCUUCAUAAUAACCACAGGGCAGUUAUUUAUUUUCUUCACAUUACAGAUGAGCCAAGUGAAGCUCACAAUAGUUAAGAAAUGAGCCCACUGCAAAGAGCAAAAGGCAAAGUCUAAACUUGAACUUGAAUGAUCUUGCUCCUCUGAUCGUACAGCUACACUCUUCUCCUGCUGUCUCCUGAAAGUCAUCAUCAAAUUGGAAGCACAGUAAUGGGCCACUCAUCAGGUGAUGUCUAUUAUAUGAACUUUUGAAUAGAGACUUCUGGGAAUAGACAAAUAAGUAAAUAUCUAGUCCCUGCUUCUGCAAUACAACUGUCAUUUAGGAGAGAUGAGAAAAGAGCUUUCUGACUAACCCCUCUGUCUUUUCAGCUCUCUCUCUUUAGUACUCUGACUCCAGCAAUUCAAUUGCUUCACUAGCAUGCAUCUCCUUUGAUCCUAUCACCACUUUACUGUCACUCCCUUGAAUGAUGUCCUUGUCUCUCUUCUUCCCUAGUGGAGAUUCCAAAGUCCAUCAUUAGAGUAAUUUCCUUUUGUAGCAUUUUCUCUUACCCCUUCUCUCCUUGUUGGACUUGUCUGAAAACAAAACAAAACAAAACAAAAAAACCCAACCCUGAUUAAAUUUAACUCAGUCUAAUGGCACCUCUACCUUCCUAGCUGAAGAUGGCUGGGGAAAAAAUACACCACGAUGGUGAGUGGCCUUAGCUUAAACUUCAAGUUUGCUCUCAGAGUUGGUUGCUAGUUCCACUAUCAUUCCCUACACCAUUCACUUUCCUUCUGGCCUAGACAAUUAUUUUACACCCUUUUUCUUUCCUCAAAUAUCCAAUCUCUCCCCUCCCAAGCAGACUCAGAAGGGAAAUUCCAUAACCUUUACAACCACCUUUGUGCUCUGCAUUUGAUGUUCAGGUUCCUAGAUAAGGAAAACCCCUCACUUGUGCUACCUGAUACCGUGAGUAGCCUUGAGUCUUGCUGCUCAAGGACAUCCUCCAGCAAUUCCUUUGCAUUAUCCCCUUCCUCCUGUCUGAUGCACCAAUCCAGUUAGCAUGCAACCAUUGCUAUUUAUAUCCCCGUCUUAAAAUAAUCCCUGCUGUGACCCCUCUUUGCCCCUAAGUUUCUUCUUUAUUUCUCUAUUCUCCUUUUGUGGCGAUACUCAAGAAUUGGUGAUAUUGUAUGUCACAAUCUGUUUUCAAUGCACAGUUCACUCCAGACCUCCUUUCUUUUCCUCCAAAUAACCCAAACUGCUCUCAUCCAAGUCGCCAGUGUCAUCCAUGUUUCUAAAUUCAGUGGUCACUUCUCAACCCUUAUCUUCCUAGUCUCUCAGAAGCAUUUAACUAUGUAAAUGACGCACUCUUUCUUGAAGCUUCCCCUUUGCUAGGCUCUUAGGAAAUCAC
Molecule: long non-coding RNA, 1446 nt
Filed under: Marmota monax (woodchuck)
Lineage: Eukaryota; Metazoa; Chordata; Mammalia; Rodentia; Sciuridae
Source: RNAcentral